GAAGCGAUGGCAAUCAAAAGAGACCUUUUUGCAAAUUACUGUUGUGGGAAGUGAUUAUAGGCGCAAUUCAUAACAAGAGACCUAAUGUAUUUGUUACGGAUUUAUCAUUAUACAUAGGACAAUGGUUAAAGAAGGCUCUGUAUCAAAAACAAGAUGAUGAAAGUUUUGGAAGACGUGAUAAAUGUUCAAAGAAACAGAUAAGCAUUUCUAAUUAUAUUUUGUUUGGCAAAUACACAUAUGCAUUUAUAUUUUCACUCAACAUUUUAUUCACAUAUUAAAGUAAUAUAUUACAGUAAUAAAUAGCAUUUCGAUAUUA
This is a long non-coding RNA of Solenopsis invicta (red fire ant), 316 nucleotides long. RefSeq lists it as uncharacterized. The transcript has 2 exons. Lineage: Eukaryota; Metazoa; Arthropoda; Insecta; Hymenoptera; Formicidae. The record is from RefSeq and is a predicted model, not a curated record.